RNAcentral lists this ribosomal RNA (491 nucleotides) under uncultured bacterium. RNAcentral's name for it is "partial 16S ribosomal RNA". It matches the Rfam family "Bacterial small subunit ribosomal RNA", at positions 29 to 507 of the family's 1533-position model. The record is from RNAcentral.
GUGAACGCUGGCGGUAGGCCUAACACAUGCAAGUCGAACGGCAGCACAGUAAGGGCUUGCUCUUACGGGUGGCGAGUGGCGGACGGGUGAGGAAUACAUCGGAAUCUACUUUUUCGUGGGGGAUAACGUAGGGAAACUUACGCUAAUACCGCAUACGACCUACGGGUGAAAGCAGGGGAUCUUCGGACCUUGCGCGAUUGAAUGAGCCGAUGUCGGAUUAGCUAGUUGGCGGGGUAAAGGCCCACCAAGGCGACGAUCCGUAGCUGGUCUGAGGGGAUGAUCAGCCACACUGGAACUGAGACACGGUCCAGACUCCUACGGGAGGCAGCAGUGGGGAAUAUUGGACAAUGGGCGCAAGCCUGAUCCAGCCAUACCGCGUGGGUGAAGAAGGCCUUCGGGUUGUAAAGCCCUUUUGUUGGGAAAGAAAAGCAGCAGGUUAAUACCCCGCUGUUCUGACGGUACCCAAAGAAUAAGCACCGGCUAACUUCGUG